UGUCACCUAGUCUGUUUCAUCAGGCAUUGGCAAAAGUUAUCAAAAUUCUCAAGGCAAGAUUGUAUUCUACAGUAUGUUGAUCAUAUCUUGUUGGCAACAGAGAGUAGAGAGGAACACCUCAUCUUGUUAGCAGAAUUGUUUAAUCUGUUGUAUGAGUCAGGAUUGAAAUUAAAUCCAAGGAAGGUCAAAUUACUGAAACAAGAGGUUCAGUACUUGGGAGUUUUGAUAAGUCCGAAUCACAUGAGUGUGUUGAGACAUUUCAGGGGGAUUUCCCAUCUCUUUUUAGAAAAGAAGUAGAGGAAACUGAUGAACCAGUAUUUGUAGAUGGUUCUAGAUUUUGUUUGAAAGGACAAUAUUAUACCGGAUAUGCCAUUUGGUUUCCAAAGAAAGGUCGAGCUAUUCAGCAUAGACUACCAGGACAUUUUUCUGCACAGAGAGCAGAAAUUGAAGCUGUUAAAACAGUAUUGGAAAUUAAUGAGAAAUAAAAUAAUGAUCCUUUGGUAAUCUAUAGCGAUAGUUCAUAUGUCGUACGUUCACUAACAGACUACUUACCUAUGUGGAAAAAACGAGGUUUUGUGGAUUCAUCUAACAAAAUCUUAAGUCAUGUUGAUACAUUACAGACUAUUUUUGAGCUUGCGUCUAAAAAUCCUAACCGAUAUGCUAUUGUCAAAGUACCUGGCCAUUGCAGAGGGACUAGUGAUUUAGCUUUGAGAAAUGAGAAAGCAGAUUCUCUGGUAAAGGAAGCAGCUUUGACAGGAGAGAUAGUGAUGGAACUGGAACCAUUAGAAGUACUACCAGUAAAGAGUAAGGAAGCAAAUUUACCUUCAUUCAUCGAUAAAGAUGAAAGAUGCAUUCAUUACAGAAUGUAAGAAUAAAAUAACACCUCCCUUUGUUUGUGAGAACGGAGUGGUGUGUUAUGGGAUGCAAGGUAAUUUACUUCCAGUUGUGCCUAAACACUUGCAGACGGAAUUCACCCGCUAUAAGAUAUAAAGAUUAGGUCAUGUGGGUCAGCAAAAGUUGCUGGAAAACUUCAAAGAGAAGUUUUAUUGGGACAAAAAGGUGGACUCUGUACAAAAUGUUGUUCAGUCAUGUCUCAUUUGUGCUCAAGUAAACCCCAGGCCUAAAGGACAAAAGUCUCCACUUCUAAGAAUUGCACCUGCAGAUGGUUCGUGGUCUAUACUGCAGAUUGACUACAUAGGUCUCCUACUUCAGGUAACCAAGGUCUCAGGAACACAGUUCUGCAAGAAAAUGGAGAAACAAAACUGUUUACUAUUGGACAGAGAACCUCCAAAGAAACAGCAAUACAAUAAGCGCGACAUCAAGAUAGCGUGCUACAUAUUACUUCCAUGGUUGUUGGUGCUGAGUUUUUUGAUUGCUGUGUUGUUUGAACUAUACCAGAAGCCAAUUGGAAUUGAUGAUCAGACA
This is a long non-coding RNA of Spea bombifrons (plains spadefoot toad), 1425 nucleotides long. RefSeq lists it as uncharacterized. Lineage: Eukaryota; Metazoa; Chordata; Amphibia; Anura; Pelobatidae. The transcript is spliced from 2 exons. The record is from RefSeq and is a predicted model, not a curated record.